Molecule: long non-coding RNA, 393 nt
Organism: Xenia sp. Carnegie-2017
Lineage: Eukaryota; Metazoa; Cnidaria; Anthozoa; Malacalcyonacea; Xeniidae
Exons: 3
Source: RefSeq, a predicted model, not a curated record
UAAGAGGGUAUUAUUGCUGCUGAAGGGUCGUUUUGAAAAUCGCUGGAUGUAUUUUAUUUAUACUUUCGAAUGAGUUAAUAGUUGCAAAGCGUUCACUACGUUUUCCUGUUAUACGAGUUCUUACGUGGGCAGGAGAGUUGAGAUAUUGACUAUACGCGUGUCAUUUCCUACAACAGUUUUCAUUAUAUUCUUUAUAUUAAAGUGAUCCGAGCCAGUACUAGCGUCUUCGCAGUCUUUGGGAUUUUCGUGGUCUUGAUUUGAAUAUUAUCUAAAACAUCAAGAGUCAGAUAGGCGUUCAUCCAUUGUCUCAAUUAAUAUGACGAAGAUCGACGUUCGUGUUCUUUUUCUUGCUGCUUCGAUAAACAUCUUAUGCCCCACUUCAGUCAUUGCUAC